This 301-nucleotide ribosomal RNA is filed under the name uncultured bacterium. RNAcentral describes it as "partial 16S ribosomal RNA". It matches the Rfam family "Bacterial small subunit ribosomal RNA", at positions 509 to 809 of the family's 1533-position model. The record is from RNAcentral.
CAGCAGCCGCGGUAAUGCGUAGGUGGCAAGCGUUGUCCGGAAUUAUUGGGCGUAAAGGGCUCGCAGGCGGUUUCUUAAGUCUGAUGUGAGAGCCCCCGGCUCAACCGGGGAGGGUCAUUGGAAACUGGGAAACUUGAGUGCAGAAGAGGAGAGUGGAAUUCCGCGUGUAGCGGUGAAAUGCGUAGAGAUGUGGAGGAACACCAGUGGCGAAGGCGACUCUCUGGUCUGUAACUGACGCUGAGGAGCGAAAGCGUGGGGAGCGAACAGGAUUAGAUACCCGAGUAGUCCCUGUCUCUUAUAA